This 439-nucleotide ribosomal RNA is filed under the name uncultured bacterium. RNAcentral's name for it is "partial 16S ribosomal RNA". It matches the Rfam family "Bacterial small subunit ribosomal RNA", at positions 342 to 795 of the family's 1533-position model. The record is from RNAcentral.
CGGGGCGCAGCAGCAAUGAGGAAUAUUGCACAAUGGGGGGAACCCUGAUGCAGCAGCGCCGCGUGGAGGAUGACGCAUUUCGGUGUGUAAACUCCUUUUAUAUGUCAAGAAAAUGACGGUAGCAUAUGAAUAAGCACCGGCUAACUCCGUGCCAGCAGCCGCGGUAAUACGGAGGGUGCAAGCGUUACUCGGAAUCACUGGGCGUAAAGGACGCGUAGGCGGGUUGGAAAGUCAGGUGUGAAAUCCUACAGCUUAACUGUAGAACUGCACUUGAAACUUCUAAUCUAGAGUAUGGGAGGGGGAGAUGGAAUUAGUGGUGUAGGGGUAAAAUCCGUAGAUAUCACUAGGAAUACCUAAAGCGAAGGCGAUCUCCUGGAACAUUACUGACGCUAAGGCGUGAAAGCGUGGGGAGCAAACAGGAUUAGAUACCCGAGUAGUC